Molecule: ribosomal RNA, 497 nt
Filed under: uncultured bacterium
Lineage: Bacteria
Description: partial 16S ribosomal RNA
Rfam family: Bacterial small subunit ribosomal RNA
Source: RNAcentral
GACGAACGUUGGCGGCGUGCCUAAUACAUGCAAGUUGAGCGCUGAAGGUUGGUACUUGUACCAACUGGAUGAGCAGCGAACGGGUGAGUAACGCGUGGGGAAUCUGCCUUUGAGCGGGGGACAACAUUUGGAAACGAAUGCUAAUACCGCAUAAAAACUUUAAACACAAGUUUUAAGUUUGAAAGAUGCAAUUGCAUCACUCAAAGAUGACCCCGCGUUGUAUUAGCUAGUUGGUGAGGUAAAGGCUCACCAAGGCGAUGAUACAUAGCCGACCUGAGAGGGUGAUCGGCCACAUUGGGACUGAGACACGGCCCAAACUCCUACGGGAGGCAGCAGUAGGGAAUCUUCGGCAAUGGACGAAAGUCUGACCGAGCAACGCCGCGUGAGUGAAGAAGGUUUUCGGAUCGUAAAACUCUGUUGGUAGAGAAGAACGUUGGUGAGAGUGGAAAGCUCAUCAAGUGACGGUAACUACCCAGAAAGGGACGGCUAACUACGUG